RNAcentral lists this ribosomal RNA (309 nucleotides) under uncultured Aquicella sp. RNAcentral describes it as "bacterial SSU rRNA". It matches the Rfam family "Bacterial small subunit ribosomal RNA", at positions 87 to 396 of the family's 1533-position model. The record is from RNAcentral. Lineage: Bacteria; Pseudomonadati; Pseudomonadota; Gammaproteobacteria; Legionellales; Coxiellaceae.
GUCGGCGAGCGGCGGACGGGUGAGUAACACGUAAGAACUUCCCUGUAUAGAUGGGGACAACCAAGGGAAACUUUGGCUAAUACCGAAUAAACUCGAGAGAGGAAAGGUGCCUGGCAACAGGUGUCGCUAUACGAGAGGCUUGCGUCUGAUUAGCUAGUUGGUGGGGUAAAGGCUCACCAAGGCGACGAUCGGUAACUGGUCUGAGAGGACGACCAGUCACACUGUUGUACUGAGACACGGCCCAGACUCCUACGCGGAGGCAGCAGUGGGGAAUCAUCGGACAAUGGGGGCAACCCUGAUCCAGCGAUG